Molecule: long non-coding RNA, 666 nt
Organism: Vicia villosa (hairy vetch)
Lineage: Eukaryota; Viridiplantae; Streptophyta; Magnoliopsida; Fabales; Fabaceae
Exons: 2
Source: RefSeq, a predicted model, not a curated record
ACUGAGAAAGACAUCAAUCCCAUGGGUGGUUUCCGUCACCCCAAUUUCUUUGAGAAGCAGGUUCCUAUUGAUGCUGAUUUCCAUAAGGAUGAAAUGAUUGACAACAUUGGAGUGACAAAAGGUAAGAGUUAUAAAGAUGUUACUCCUUGGGGUGUUACCCAUAUCCCCCGCAAGACUCACAGGGGUUUGAGGAAGGUUGCUUGUAUCGGUGCAUGGCAUCCUGCCAAAGUUUCCUUCACCGUUGCAAGGGCUGUUGCAAGUGCUUGAUAGGAUAUACUUAAGUUGCGACCGAGGAAUAGUCGUAUUGUGGCACUUUUAUUGAAGAUGGUGUAAAAGACCAUUUCAUUGGUUUUCUUUCGUGCUUAUAUAUGAUAAAUUGUCAAGUCAGCUAGUACGUUUGGUUUGUAAUAAGGCCCAGGUAUGGUGACACCGGGGGUCAUGAUUCAUGUGUUUUCUUUUGUACAUAUGUAUGCUGGUAUUGUGACAUCGGAGUCGGGAUUCUUAUGUUUCCUUUUGUACAUAUGUAUGCUAAACUGCCAAGGCAGCUAGUAUGUUUGGUUUGUAAUAAGACUAUGGUAUUGUGACAUUGGGGUCAGGAUUCAUGUUUUUUAAAUUACUAUGUUUGGUUUUAUGUUUUAAUCAAGCACUCAUAUAUGAGAUUGUUAA